RNAcentral lists this ribosomal RNA (253 nucleotides) under uncultured bacterium. Its description in RNAcentral is "partial 16S ribosomal RNA". It matches the Rfam family "Bacterial small subunit ribosomal RNA", at positions 524 to 776 of the family's 1533-position model. The record is from RNAcentral.
GACGAACCGUGCGAACGUUGUUCGGAAUCACUGGGCUUAAAGGGCUCGUAGGCGGUCCGUCACGUCGGGAGUGAAAACUUGGGGCUUAACCCCAAGCCUGCUUCCGAUACGGGCGGACUAGAGGUAGGCAGGGGAGAACGGAAUUCCUGGUGUAGCGGUGAAAUGCGCAGAUAUCAGGAGGAACACCGGUGGCGAAGGCGGGUCUCUGGGCCGAUACUGACGCUGAGGAGCGAAAGCGUGGGGAGCGAACAGG